This 849-nucleotide ribosomal RNA is filed under the name uncultured bacterium. Its description in RNAcentral is "bacterial SSU rRNA". It matches the Rfam family "Bacterial small subunit ribosomal RNA", at positions 51 to 896 of the family's 1533-position model. The record is from RNAcentral.
CCAGAUUGAAGUCGAAGGAUUAGGUAGUUGCUUGAAUUACUGGAGACUGGCGGACGGGUGAGUAACGCGUAGACAACCUGCCUUUAGCUGGGGGAUAACCCUGCGAAAGUGGGGCUAAUACCGCAUGAUGCAGCGGGGCCGCAUGGCCACAGUUGUUAAAGGUUGAGGCCGGCUAAAGAUGGGUCUGCGUGCUAUUAGCUAGUUGGUGCGGUAACGGCGCACCAAGGCGAUGAUAGCUAGGGGGUCUGAGAGGACGAUCCCCCACACUGGGACUGAGACACGGCCCAGACUCCUACGGGAGGCAGCAGUGAGGGAUAUUGCGCAAUGGGCGAAAGCCUGACGCAGCCACGCCGCGUGCCGGAAGACGGUCCUAUGGAUUGUAAACGGCUUUUGUCAGGGAAGAAAGGGAGGGUUUCGACCUUUUUUGACGGUACCUGAUGAAUAAGCACCGGCUAACUCCGUGCCAGCAGCCGCGGUAAUACGGAGGGUGCAAGCGUUGUCCGGAAUCAUUGGGUGUAAAGGGUGCGUAGGCGGGCGUCUAAGUCUGGGGUGAAAUCUUGCCGCUUAACGGUAAAAUGGCCUUGGAUACUGGAUGUCUUGAGUGCAGAAGAGGCAGGUGGAACUCGUAGUGUAGCGGUGAAAUGCAUAGAUAUUACGAAGAACAUCAGUGGCGAAGGCGGCCUGCUGGUCUGCAACUGACGCUGAGGCACGAGAGCGUGGGGAGCGAACAGGAUUAGAUACCCUGGUAGUCCACGCCGUAAACGAUGCAUACUAGGUGUUGGCUUUUCGGAGCCAGUGCUGCAGUUAACGCAUUAAGUAUGCCACCUGGGGAGUACGUCGGCAACGAUG